GACGAACGCUGGCGGCGUGCUUAACACAUGCAAGUCGAACGAUGAACCUCGAAAUGAUUUCUUCGGAAAGAUUUUUGAGAGGAUUAGUGGCGAACGGGUGAGUAACGCGUGAGCAACCUGCCUUAGACAAGGGGAUAGCCUCGGGAAACCGUGAUUAAUACCCUAUGAGACUCCCCUUACGAGUGUAAGAGAAGUUAAAGCUAUUGCGGUCUAAGAUGGGCUCGCGUCUGAUUAGCUAGUUGGUGAGAUAAAAGCCCACCAAGGCGACGAUCAGUAACCGGCUUGAGAGAGUGAACGGUCACAUUGGAACUGAGACACGGUCCAAACUCCUACGGGAGGCAGCAGUGGGGAAUAUUGCACAAUGGGGGCAACCCUGAUGCAGCGACGCCGCGUGAGCGAUGAAGGAAUUCGUUUCGUAAAGCUCUGUCCUUGGAGAAGAUAAUGACGGUAACCAAGGAGGAAGCACCGGCUAAAUACGUG
RNAcentral lists this ribosomal RNA (480 nucleotides) under uncultured bacterium. RNAcentral's name for it is "partial 16S ribosomal RNA". It matches the Rfam family "Bacterial small subunit ribosomal RNA", at positions 28 to 507 of the family's 1533-position model. The record is from RNAcentral.